Molecule: long non-coding RNA, 225 nt
Filed under: Gossypium raimondii (Peruvian cotton)
Lineage: Eukaryota; Viridiplantae; Streptophyta; Magnoliopsida; Malvales; Malvaceae
Description: long non-coding RNA (GRAI_LNC009126)
Source: RNAcentral
GGGCUUUAAGCAAUUUACCUUUUUCUGGUGGAGCCAAAUAAUUUGGCGCUGCCAGAUUCCAACGCCCUACUCUGCUGCCUAUGGUACUUUUUCUAAUUUUUUAAUUUGUUUUUCAUUUUUUCCUUUUUUUUUGUCAUUGUUUGUCCUUUUUCUUUCUUUUUAUUUGUUUUUCUUUAUUUCCUUUUUCAGUUUUUUAUUUUUUUUUCUUUAUUUUUUUAUUAUUUG